RNAcentral lists this microRNA precursor (103 nucleotides) under Marmota monax (woodchuck). Lineage: Eukaryota; Metazoa; Chordata; Mammalia; Rodentia; Sciuridae. The record is from RNAcentral.
AGAGGGAUAGCUGGGUCAAAUGGUGGUUCCAUUCCCAGAUUUCCAAGGAAUCUCCAUACUGCUUUUCAAAUUGGCUGUACCAAUUUGCAGUCCCAUCAGCAAU